UACGAAGGGGGCUAGCGUUGUUCGGAAUUACUGGGCGUAAAGCGCGCGCAGGCGGUUUUUCAAGUCAGUGGUGAAAGCCCGGAGCUCAACUCCGGAAAUGCCAUUGAAACUGUAAAACUUGAGGACGAGAGAGGUGAGUGGAAUUCCCAGUGUAGAGGUGAAAUUCGUAGAUAUUGGGAAGAACACCGGUGGUGAAGGCGACUCGCUGGACAAGUAUUGACGCUGAGGUGCGAAAGCGUGGGGAGCAAACAGG
This 253-nucleotide ribosomal RNA is filed under the name uncultured bacterium. Its description in RNAcentral is "partial 16S ribosomal RNA". It matches the Rfam family "Bacterial small subunit ribosomal RNA", at positions 524 to 776 of the family's 1533-position model. The record is from RNAcentral.